AUUGAACGCUGGCGGCAGGCCUAACACAUGCAAGUCGAGCGAGCGGCGGACGGGUGAGUAAUGUAUGGGGACUGCUCGAUAGAGGGGGAUAACUACUGGAAACGGUGGCUAAUAACGCAUACUAUCGGAUAACCCAUAUGGGAGUGGCUAGUAGGUGGGGUAAAGGCUCACCUAGGCGACGAUCUCUAGCUGGUCUGAGAGGAUGAUCAGCAAAACUGGGACUGUGAAACGGCCCAGACUCCUACGGAGGCAGCAGGGGGGAAUAGUGCGCAAUGGGCGAAAGCCUGAUGCAGCCAUGCCGCGUGUAUGAAGAAGGCCUUAGGGUUGUAAAGUACUUUCAGCGGGGAGGCGUUACCCGCAGAAGAAGCACCGGCUAACUCCGUGCCAGCAGCCGCGGUAAUUC
RNAcentral lists this ribosomal RNA (403 nucleotides) under uncultured bacterium. RNAcentral describes it as "partial 16S ribosomal RNA". It matches the Rfam family "Bacterial small subunit ribosomal RNA", at positions 30 to 526 of the family's 1533-position model. The record is from RNAcentral.